AAAGAUCGCAGUUUUACACUAUUAAUAUCACCAUCUGUCUUAUUUGAAAAAAUAUGAGUAGUAUUUUUAUUGUUAUUAAAUAAUAAAACAUGAAUAAUAUUUUCUGCAUGACUAUUUUUUUAAUUUUUUCAUGAACUUUUUAAAUAAAACGGAUGGUCAAACGUUGGACAUAGAAAUCCACAACUGCACUUAAA
RNAcentral lists this microRNA precursor (194 nucleotides) under Oryza punctata. RNAcentral's name for it is "MIR812 microRNA precursor family". It matches the Rfam family "MIR812 microRNA precursor family". The record is from Rfam by way of RNAcentral. Lineage: Eukaryota; Viridiplantae; Streptophyta; Magnoliopsida; Poales; Poaceae.